Molecule: ribosomal RNA, 506 nt
Filed under: uncultured bacterium
Lineage: Bacteria
Description: partial 16S ribosomal RNA
Rfam family: Bacterial small subunit ribosomal RNA
Source: RNAcentral
GAUGAACGCUAGCUACAGGCUUAACACAUGCAAGUCGAGGGGUAACGAGAGGAAAGCUUGCUUUCCUUGUCGACGACCGGCGCACGGGUGAGUAACGCGUAUCCAACCUGCCCCCAACUAGGGAAUAACCUUGCGAAAGUAAGACUAAUACCCUAUAAUUUCCUCAGAUGACAUCUGACGAGGAAUAAAGAUUUAUCGGUUGUGGAUGGGGAUGUGUCUGAUUAGGUUGUUGGCGGGGUAACGGCCCACCAAGGCAACGAUCAGUAGGGGUUCUGAUGGGAAGGUCCCCCACAUUGGAACUGAGACACGGUCCAAACUCCUACGGGAGGCAGCAGUGAGGAAUAUUGGUCAAUGGGCGGAAGCCUGAACCAGCCAAGUAGCGUGCAGGAUGACGGCCCUAUGGGUUGUAAACUGCUUUUAUACAGGAAUAAAGUUAGCCACGUGUGGUUAUUUGUAGGUACUGUAUGAAUAAGGACCGGCUAAUUCCGUGCCAGCAGCCGCCGUAA